UGGUUUCUCUUCAGAUCGUACAAAUCUUUCGCCUUUUACUAAAGAUUUCCGUGGAGAGGAACAACUCUGAGUUUUAAACCAAUUUUUUGAGGCCUUGCUUUUUCAGCAGGGCUUAUUUGAGUGGUACUAAAAACAGACGUAUGCUAGUAAAUCUGUAAGCUCUGAAAUGUGGGUUCAUCAGCCCUUAGAAGUGCGUUUAAUACAAACGCGAAUUUUUGGGCUUUUCUAGAGGUUCACCUUUUUAUGGUAGGCGUUAGUUCUACUGCAUCUCUGGGGAGUUGCUACCGUGACACGUUGGGGUGGCUUACUGCUUUUGACCAAGGAACGGGGCUUGGCUUGUUUAAUUACACCAGGGGUUUUUAACCCCGGCCACUGACCGACAGAGGGUUACCGGCUGGCAAGCGAGCACUACCGCCUGACCUCCCCAUCGUGUCAGGUCAGUAGGGCAUCAGAUUCUCCUAGGAGCAGGAACCCUACUGCGAACUGCGCAUACGAGGGAUCUAGAACUUCAAAGAGGAACCAGGAGUACGGGAGGAACAUGGAAGUGGACAAGGAGCACGACCAUUGAAGCGCAGCACCACAGGGAGGGGUUUAGGCCUCUGGAUGACUGCGGGCGGGCCUGGAUAAUAUCCAGCCUCCCACAAGAAGCUGGUGGAGCAGAGUGUUCCCUGACUCCUCCAAGGAAAGGAGACUCCCUUUCCCGGUCUGCUAAGUAACGGGUGUCUUCCCAGACACUGGCGUUACUGCUUGACCAAGGAGCCCUCAAGCGGCCCUUAUGCGGGCGUGACAGAGGGCUCACCUCUUGCCUUCUUGGUCACUUCUCACGAUGUCCCUUCAGCACCUGACCCUAUACCCACCGGUUAUUCCUUGGUUAUACAACAAAGAGUAAUAUUAAAAGCUAAUGAUUAAUAUUGUUCAUACUAAUGAUUUAUAAUGUCCAUGAUCAUCUCUAUAUCUAAUUUGUAUUAUAACUAUUCUAACUAUUUUCUUUACUAUCCUGAAACAGUUUGUGCCUUCAGUCUCUUGCCUCGGCACCUGGGUAAUCCUCCGUCGACACUCGUCUGUCUCUCCUGCAGGCUGCAUUCGCUGAGGUGUGUCUGUGUUGCUCCCCUUUGUGUUCCAGUCAAAAAAGAUUCCUAGAGAGGAUUUGCUCUCACACCAAGGCUAAGCUCCCCACACCAGUUUAACGAGCCUGGAAGUAAGUGCCGUCCACCAAUGUCCCACCUGCUCUUCGGAUGCUCCUCAAGCCGUCCCUGCCCAGAGAGAUUCUGGGAUGAAAAGGAAAAAUUGUCCCUGCCUGGCAGAAAUUGAUGCUGCUUCUGGAGAGAAUUUAAGCAAGCACCAUGAGAACAGGAACUCUGGUUCCCAUCUGCACCCCCCAUGCAUAGAACAGCCCUGGCAGAAGCAUUCAGUAGAUACUUGCUGAAUGAACUCAACUCUUUGAGCAACCAAACACAAGGGUUCAGACAAUAGGAGCCCUGGAAACCAGAACUCCUCUCUCAUCCAGAACAGGAUUUUCUUUUCUUUAACAGUCAACAGAGAGGAGAGUUUUCAUUGGGCGGGAGCAUCUCAACCUGCUGAAAGAAGGCAUUCUCCAACCUCCCUGUGAACCAGUUGCAGCCACAAAUGCCAGGACGCACUUCAGCCCAGCAGGGGUUAUGUCAAGAAGUCCCCAUCUGUCACCAGGCCGACUGCAGAGCUGAGCAAAGAAUCAGGGGAUCCACCUGCUGGUUUCACCUCUGCAAACUGACUCUAAAACACUUCACUCUGCUCAAAUCAGGCCCCACCUACCAGAACAAAUAACAGAAAGACCUGACCUUUACACUCAAAUUUCCACUACAGUCUCAUAAAAACCUUCUGAGGUAGGCGUUAUUGUUAUUAAAUACAGGCCCAGAGAGAUUAGGCGACGAAUCCCAAAGUCGCACAGACACUAGGCAGUUGAGCAGAGAUUCAACCUCUGGUGAAACGCCAAGCCCAAGUUUUAACCACCCCAUCAUCACCUUCAGUGUUACCUCUGCAGAUUUUGGAGGGACAUAACUAGGGUGGACCAAGUGCUGACCAGGACUCACCUGGGCUGAAGAGCUGAGCCCAGAGGAGCUGGUGGUCUUGAAGAAGCUCCGCGGCUGGCAUCUCCAAGAGCUCCAGCAUUUCCUUCCGGGCCAAGUCCUGCAGUGCCUUGAGUUCCUUGGCUGCUUUGCUUUUGAGCACCUGGGAGUUAAUGGGGCCAGAGACGUGCACCACCCACAGCACCGUCUCAUCCAGCUGCGUCUUG
Molecule: non-coding RNA, 2272 nt
Organism: Macaca mulatta (Rhesus monkey)
Lineage: Eukaryota; Metazoa; Chordata; Mammalia; Primates; Cercopithecidae
Source: RefSeq, a predicted model, not a curated record